Molecule: ribosomal RNA, 398 nt
Filed under: Chthamalus proteus
Lineage: Eukaryota; Metazoa; Arthropoda; Thecostraca; Balanomorpha; Chthamalidae
Description: SSU rRNA
Rfam family: Eukaryotic small subunit ribosomal RNA
Source: RNAcentral
UAAAGAUUAAGCCAUGCAUGUAUCAGUACAAGCCAAGCUAAGGUGAAACCGCGAAUGGCUCAUUAAAUCAGUUAUUAUUUACUGGCCGAGACAGUGAUACAUGGAUAACUGUGGUAAUUCUAGAGCUAAUACAUGCAACCGAGCCCCAGUCCUGGCUCUCGGGCCAGGCGGGGCGCUUUUAUUGGCUGAAAACCGAUGAUCGCCCUCGCGGCGGUCGUUAUUCGAUGAAUCACAAUAACAUUGUGUGGAUCGUAUGGUCUUGUACCGACGACGCGCCUUUCAAAUAUCUGCCUUAUCAGCUCUCGACGGUUUGCUAGUGGCUGACCGUGGCUCUGACGGGUAACGGGGAAUCUGGGUUCGGUUCCGGAGAGGGAGCCUGAGAGAUGGCUACCACAUCU